UGGGGAAUAUUGGACAAUGGGCGAAAGCCUGAUCCAGCCAUGCCGCGUGUGUGAAGAAGGUCUUCGGAUUGUAAAGCACUUUAAGUUGGGAGGAAGGGCAGUAAGCGAAUACCUUGCUGUUUUGACGUUACCGACAGAAUAAGCACCGGCUAACUCUGUGCCAGCAGCCGCGGUAAUACAGAGGGUGCAAGCGUUAAUCGGAAUUACUGGGCGUAAAGCGCGCGUAGGUGGUUCGUUAAGUUGAAUGUGAAAGCCCCGGGCUCAACCUGAGAACUGCAUCCAAGACUGGCGAGCUAGAGUAGGGCAGAGGGUGGUGGAAUUUACUGUGUAGCGGUGAGGUGCGUAGAUAUAGGAAGGAACACCAGUGGCGAAGGCGACCACCUUGGCUCAUACUGACACUGAGGUGCGAAAGCGUGGGGAGCAAACAGG
Molecule: ribosomal RNA, 429 nt
Filed under: Pseudomonadota bacterium
Lineage: Bacteria; Pseudomonadati; Pseudomonadota
Description: Proteobacteria bacterium partial 16S ribosomal RNA
Rfam family: Bacterial small subunit ribosomal RNA
Source: RNAcentral